GGGGCUGAUUGGUUUUGACAGCGGGUAGAAGAGGCAGGUAAGCAUGCAGGGUUUUGGUUGUUGACCCUUAAAAAAUAAUGAUCAAAACCAUAAUUGGCGAAAAUAAUUACGCUCUUGCAGCGUAACCGAAUCAAGUAGGUUACCGCUUAAUCCCGAUGCAAGGCAUUGGGACAAGACAUCGCCCGGGUGCUGUUGCCACGAAGCGGCCCGAUCCGGCGGUGCAAGUAAAUCGAGGCUAGUUGAAGUUUUGCUCUGCAACUUCGGCGAAAUUAAAGGAGCUAAGGUACCGGUCGGUGGCCCUGAUCCAGCCGGUGCACGAAAAUUAAGUCGGGGCUAAGCAUGUAGAAAGCCUGUGGCUUCCUCGUUUGGACGCGGGUUCGACUCCCGCCAGCUCCACCA
RNAcentral lists this transfer-messenger RNA (399 nucleotides) under Mariniphaga anaerophila. It matches the Rfam family "transfer-messenger RNA". From Rfam's summary of the family: Bacterial tmRNA, also known as 10Sa RNA or SsrA, is named for its dual tRNA and mRNA-like properties. The record is from RNAcentral. Lineage: Bacteria; Pseudomonadati; Bacteroidota; Bacteroidia; Marinilabiliales; Prolixibacteraceae.